UUUCAAACUCUUUUUUUUUUAAUCAGUAGAUAGUAAAAUAUGAGCAGAUUGAAAAUAGCAUUAGUGUUUUAGCUUAUGGAUUUAAAUUGUCAUCAGUUACUUGUGUUCAGUGCACACACACUCACCUCAUGGUGAGAACCAACAUAUAAACUCACCUUUAUGGUGAGAACCAUGAAGCUAUGUUGAUGAAUACAGACAUUUUCUAUUGUGGCCUUAGUUAAUGGUUAUAAUCUUAUACCAAUAUCUGAUCUUGUUCUUUAUAUUAUUUUUGAUUGCAGUAAACAGAUAUAUCAAAGAGCUUUGUUCUAAGGUUUGGAUGAAAUCUGAUAGCACAAAUUAACAC
This 343-nucleotide long non-coding RNA is filed under the name Homo sapiens (human). Its description in RNAcentral is "HSALNT0032418". Lineage: Eukaryota; Metazoa; Chordata; Mammalia; Primates; Hominidae. The record is from RNAcentral.